AGAUAGCCUCAGACUCAGCCUGGAAGAGGACAGAGGAGCCCUUCUGAAGGAGGUGCUGGGGCUGAUGGUGAUGAUCUGAAGCAUGCUCAGGAGAGAGGUGGUGCAGAUCAAGAGGCCCCUCAUUACCUUGUAUAUGUAGAACACAGCCUUACAUCUGAAGUUAUUCUGAAAAUUCUGUGACUCAAACACGUCUAGAGACAAUAACUCUGCUGCCAUGACUAGCAUCACUAUGUAGACAGAAACCAAGUGACAGAUGAUCAGGUCAUGGUUUUUUAGGCUUGUGAUCCUUAAAGAAUGUAAAAAUGUGCCAGAGAAGAAGAAAGAUGUUGGCUGAGAUUCCAAUGCCAGCUUGAAAACAAAAGGCCUUUUGAAAGAUAACAUGUGAAAUGUGUGUUCAUCCUAAUGACAUAGAAGAAACAUUUUGAAGACCUGAAAAAAGUAGAUCUGUGUCAUCAAUGUCCUUUUGUCAGUGUUCAAAAUUAUUACCAUUAUUAUUUUUAUUUUACUCUCAUUUCUUGAUUAACCCCAUCUUAUAUAAAUUCUUGAUAAUGUAUCUCCUAUACUAUUUCCUAAACCAAAUAAAUAUAUACAUAUAUAAUUAUUAUGAAUCUCUAUAUAGUAAAUACAUUUUCAAUUUUGCCUAAGGUGCAUACUAUCUAUAUUCCUUAUGUACCUUGGCCUUCAUCUCAGUAAUCAUAUCCUUAUUCUAUGUUCUCAUUUUAUAUUUAGCACUUCAGUCAGGCAUAUAAAAUGAAUAGUAUUUGUACAGUUGAAUUAAAUGUAUGUUAAUGUGAAAAGACUCAAUAAAAAGUAUAGUCAGUUGA
Long non-coding RNA from Homo sapiens (human), 824 nucleotides. RefSeq lists it as uncharacterized. NCBI's taxonomy places the organism in Eukaryota, Metazoa, Chordata, Mammalia, Primates, Hominidae. The transcript is spliced from 2 exons. The record is from RefSeq and is a predicted model, not a curated record.